RNAcentral lists this long non-coding RNA (288 nucleotides) under Columba livia (rock pigeon). RNAcentral's name for it is "partial uncharacterized LOC102084209". The record is from RNAcentral. Lineage: Eukaryota; Metazoa; Chordata; Aves; Columbiformes; Columbidae.
GUGCUGGUGGUGAGAAGACGUGGUGGCAGGGAUGCACAAACAGCCUCUCCUCCAUCUGACAGGAUGUUUUCAGCUGCAAGGUGAGGAUGGGGAAGAAAAGCUCCUGCUGCUGCUUUGGUAUUGUCUGAAGUGGCAGAGAAGGAGAUGACAAGGACACCCUGAAGCCAUCAAUGGAUGAUCACCCAGAGGAGGCUUUGGAGAGUGAGAUGGGACAGAAGAUGCUGAGCAAGGUGCAGGAGGAGCACGAGGCAUGUGCGAUGCAGCUGUCCGCCUAGGAAAAAGGACGUG